UGCCCCCUUCACUCCUCCCCCUUCACGCAGUACCCCCACUGUAUCUCUAACCGGAACCGGAAGCGGUAUCCGGUCCCGUAUCUGGCAGCCGAAAUUAGCGGGCCGGACUGCAGAAGCGCCGUGCUCAGAAGGAGGCAUACCGGCACCGUGGGGGGAGAGCGCUGCUGUACUGGUUGGGGAAGGAGUGGUGGAACGUCAUGGCGAAACGUCACACCGCUCUGAUCGUGCUGUGUUUGCUGGUCCUCAUGUCCAGCGUUCGCACGACCUGCGGCCAGCCCGGCGACAGGGAGGCCGCGGCCCAGGAACGGAGGAGCGAGCUGUCACCUGUUCAUCAAGCCGCUCUUUUUGGGCGCAGUUGUCCGAUCGGGACCCGGCAUUGUGGUGACCGAAGGUGCUGCCGAACACGUCAGAGGUCACGCCCGGCUCAUCGCUGUCGCCCUUGGAAGGUCUACCACCCGAUUUUCGGGUGUACUCAUACUGUUCAUUAAACAUCGGCAGGCCUACCACUCCAUUUUUGGGUGUAUCAAUUAAACCCUGAUACUCUUACCAGCUGUGCUUUUGUGUUAAACCAUUGUUGUUUUAAACCCAGUGUUGAAGUGUUUCACUGAGGCAUCCUGUUUGAAUGUAUCAACCAGACACGAUGUGAUAUGGCAUUGGUGAAAUAUUGUGAAUGGCUUGGCUUCAAGAACCGUGAUCAAAUCAAAGACAUGUUGGAGGAUCAGAUGUCGAUGUAUCACAUGUAGUCCCUUAACCUCAGCCCCAGUGGGGGGGGGGACAUAUUAUGUUACCACCCUGUCGCACUUUUUGCGUGUGAAUAAAAAACCGCGGCGCGUAGCGCCGCGCCGCUUGGAA
This is a long non-coding RNA of Amphibalanus amphitrite, 852 nucleotides long. RefSeq lists it as uncharacterized. The transcript is spliced from 2 exons. NCBI's taxonomy places the organism in Eukaryota, Metazoa, Arthropoda, Thecostraca, Balanomorpha, Balanidae. The record is from RefSeq and is a predicted model, not a curated record.